GAUGAACGCUGGCGGCGUGCCUAAUACAUGCAAGUCGAGCGAACAGACGAGGAGCUUGCUCCUCUGACGUUAGCGGCGGACGGGUGAGUAACACGUGGAUAACCUACCUAUAAGACUGGGAUAACUUCGGGAAACCGGAGCUAAUACCGGAUAAUAUAUUGAACCGCAUGGUUCAAUAGUGAAAGACGGUUUUGCUGUCACUUAUAGAUGGAUCCGCGCCGCAUUAGCUAGUUGGUAAGGUAACGGCUUACCAAGGCAACGAUGCGUAGCCGACCUGAGAGGGUGAUCGCCCACACUGGAACUGAGACACGGUCCAGACUCCUACGGGAGGCAGCAGUAGGGAAUCUUCCGCAAUGGGCGAAAGCCUGACGGAGCAACGCCGCGUGAAUGAUGAAGGUCUUCGGAUCGUAAAACUCUGUUAUUAGGGAAGAACAAAUGUGUAAGUAACUAUGCACGUCUUGACGGUACCUAAUCAGAAAGCCACGGCUAACUACGUG
RNAcentral lists this ribosomal RNA (497 nucleotides) under uncultured bacterium. Its description in RNAcentral is "partial 16S ribosomal RNA". It matches the Rfam family "Bacterial small subunit ribosomal RNA", at positions 28 to 507 of the family's 1533-position model. The record is from RNAcentral.